RNAcentral lists this ribosomal RNA (484 nucleotides) under uncultured bacterium. Its description in RNAcentral is "partial 16S ribosomal RNA". It matches the Rfam family "Bacterial small subunit ribosomal RNA", at positions 28 to 523 of the family's 1533-position model. The record is from RNAcentral.
GACGAACGCUGGCGGCGUGCUUAACACAUGCAAGUCGAACGAUGAAGCUAGAGCUUGCUCUGGUGAAUUAGUGGCGAACGGGUGAGUAACACGUGAGUAACCUGCCCCGAACUCUGGGAUAACUGCUGGAAACGGUAGCUAAUACUGGAUACGACCUACGAAGGCAUCUUCUGUAGGUGGAAAGAAUUUCGGUUCGGGAUGGACUCGCGGCCUAUCAGCUUGUUGGUGAGGUAAUGGCUCACCACGGCGACGACGGGUAGCCGGCCCGCGAGGGGAGCCGGCCACACUGGGACUGAGACACGGCCCAGAAUCCUACGGGAGGCAGCGGUGGGAAACAUUGCACAGUGGGCGCAAGCCUGAUGCGGCAACGCCGCGGGUGGUAUGACGGCCUUCGGGGUGUAAACCUCUUUUGGUAGAGAAGAAGCGAACGUGACGGCACCUGCAGAAAAAGCACCGGCUAACUACGUGCCAGCCGCCGCCGUAA